RNAcentral lists this ribosomal RNA (482 nucleotides) under uncultured Aeromicrobium sp. Its description in RNAcentral is "partial 16S ribosomal RNA". Lineage: Bacteria; Bacillati; Actinomycetota; Actinomycetes; Propionibacteriales; Nocardioidaceae. The record is from RNAcentral.
CACGUAGUUGGCCGGUCCUUCUUCUGCAGGUACCGUCACUUUCGCUUCGUCCCUGCUGAAAGAGGUUUACAACCCGAAGGCCGUCAUCCCUCACGCGGCGUUGCUGGAUCAGGCUUUCGCCCAUUGUCCAAUAUUCCCCACUGCUGCCUCCCGUAGGAGUCUGGGCCGUGUCUCAGUCCCAGUGCGGCCGGUCACCCUCUCAGGCCGGCUACCCGUCAAUGCCUUGGUGAGCCAUUACCUCACCAACAAGCUGAUAGGCCGCGAGCUCAUCCUUCUCCGCCGGAGCUUUCCAACCCCCAACAUGCGAAAGGGGUUCAUAUUUGGCAUUAGCCAUCGUUUCCAAUGGUUAUUCCAAAGAGAAGGGCAGAUUGCUCACGUGUUACUCACCCGUUCGCCGCUCGUGUACCCCGAAGGGCCUUACCGCUCGACUUGCAUGUGUUAAGCACGCCGCCAGCGUUCGUCCUGAGCCAGGAUCAAACUCU